UACGUAGGGACCAAGCGUUGUUCGGAUUUACUGGGCGUAAAGCGUGCGCAGGCGGCGCCGCAAGUCGAGUGUGAAAUCCCCGAGCUUAACUUGGGAAUUGCGCUCGAAACUACGGUGCUGGAGUGUGGCAGAGGGAGGUGGAAUUCCACGUGUAGCGGUAAAAUGCGUAGAGAUGUGGAGGAACACCGAUGGCGAAGGCAGCCUCCUGGGCCAACACUGACGCUCAUGCACGAAAGCGUGGGGAGCCAAAGGG
RNAcentral lists this ribosomal RNA (253 nucleotides) under uncultured bacterium. RNAcentral describes it as "partial 16S ribosomal RNA". It matches the Rfam family "Bacterial small subunit ribosomal RNA", at positions 524 to 776 of the family's 1533-position model. The record is from RNAcentral.